This 207-nucleotide ribosomal RNA is filed under the name uncultured bacterium. Its description in RNAcentral is "partial 16S ribosomal RNA". It matches the Rfam family "Bacterial small subunit ribosomal RNA", at positions 568 to 775 of the family's 1533-position model. The record is from RNAcentral.
UGCGUAGGUGGCAUGGUAAGUCGGAUGUGAAAUCCCGGGGCUCAACCCCGGAACUGCAUUCGAUACUGCUGAGCUAGAGUACUGGAGAGGAGAUUGGAAUUUACGGUGUAGCAGUGAAAUGCGUAGAUAUCGUAAGGAAGACCAGUGGCGAAGGCGGAUCUCUGGACAGUUACUGACACUGAGGACAAGGCCAGGGGGAGCGAAACG